Molecule: long non-coding RNA, 743 nt
Organism: Cotesia glomerata
Lineage: Eukaryota; Metazoa; Arthropoda; Insecta; Hymenoptera; Braconidae
Exons: 3
Source: RefSeq, a predicted model, not a curated record
CAUUCAUAUGUCUUGAUAAUUAUUUUAAAAUAAAAUCUAGCUUUCUAGAUAAAUGCCAAAGAAAGUGAAGAUUGAUGAUUGCAUAGAUCGAAAGUAACAAAAGUUCGUCUAUGCCGUUCUAGUUGUAUUAAACUGAUACAACUAGACGUUCCAUGUACAUAUUUAGACAUGUAAACGCGCUACAUGUGUUUAUUACAAUACAAUAAACAUAUGUGUAAUAAAAAAAAUGUUAUGUAGGUCGAAGAAUAUUGAUCAAUGAAUGUAGGUCACAAAAGACUCUUAUGCGAUGACGUAUUACAGCGCUUGACGUUGUACAUUACGUCGCUUGUUACUCUACUAUUAUUUUUGUCAUUAGUAUUUUUAUGACAUUUAAUUGAGUACUCGUGGUAAGUAAUUGCAGUUUUAAUGUUGAGGUCGGAUUUUUUGGAGCGAGAUAUUUUAGGUCAUAAUGAUUGGAGGGUGUCGCAAAAGAUCUCGGAACUUGUAGUUACUCAGAAUGAAGCCCAAGAGAGUUUGCAAGAGGAUCGAUCGGUGGCAGAACAGUAUUGUGGAUUCACUCGGUCUCGGUAACUCUCACUCGCUCUCCCUCGGCACCAACGACGUGUACGUGACCUACCACGCUCGAGCCAUGGCGAAAGAUCCACAAUUGUAAUGAGUAAUGACAUACUUGCAACACAUUUUGCGGCUUUAAAUAUUAUUUUAACUUUUAAAUUCAACUAAAGUUAAAACCUCGCUGGAUUUUU